Molecule: small RNA, 315 nt
Filed under: Meriones unguiculatus (Mongolian gerbil)
Lineage: Eukaryota; Metazoa; Chordata; Mammalia; Rodentia; Muridae
Description: 7SK RNA (ENSMUGG00000005758.1)
Rfam family: 7SK RNA
About the family: 7SK was discovered as an abundant small nuclear RNA in the mid-70s but a possible function has only recently been suggested. Two independent studies have found that 7SK RNA binds the CDK9/cyclin T complex (known as elongation factor P-TEFb). P-TEFb activates transcription by phosphorylating the C-terminal domain of RNA polymerase II.
Source: RNAcentral
GCUGAGUAACUGGCUGCGACAUCUGUCUCCCCAUUGAUCACCAGGGUUGAUUCGGCUGAUCUGGCUGGCUAAGCGGGUGUCCCCUUUCUCCCUCACCACUCCAUGUGUGUCCCUCCUGAAGCUGUGCGCUUGGUCGAAGAGGACGACCUUCCUGGAAUAGAGGAGGACUGGUUUUCGGUCAAGGGUAUACGAGUAGCUGUGCUCCCCUGCUAGAACCUCCAAACAUGCUCAAGGUGUCAUAAAUCUUAAUCAGAUUUGUCAAUCUGGAUGAUUUUGCUCUUAACCUCAUAGAUAAUUUCAAGUAGGAAAAAAGGA